Long non-coding RNA from Capsicum annuum, 1574 nucleotides. RefSeq lists it as uncharacterized. The transcript has 4 exons. The record is from RefSeq and is a predicted model, not a curated record. Lineage: Eukaryota; Viridiplantae; Streptophyta; Magnoliopsida; Solanales; Solanaceae.
AUUUACUUUACUUUAUUAUUUUUUAUUAAUAUUUAUAUGUAGGAGUAUAUGUAUCCUAAUAGUAUAAUAACAUAGGUAUACGUGUAUUCUGAAAAGACUAUAUUGACUGCAUUUUAUCACACAAAUUUUUACACGGUAUUCAAGUAUAAUAGUUCACUGCAUUUAUUACACAACUUUUCUCUUUUACCAAAUUUACACAGUAAAGUUCUCUUCCUUGUUAAUUUGUGAUCUGAGAUUGUGUUUCUUUAAAAAAAAAAAAGAAUUGUGUAUGAACUUUAUUUUCUUCUAGUAUUCUCGUUUUUUUUUCUACUGCUUUAGUCUGUUCACUUUUUUUUUUUUAAUAAUAGUAUUUGUAAUCGUGUUUUUCACAUUUUUUCUUUCUUUUUUUAUGGUUAUUUUACUGAACUUUGGAUGGUUUAGUAAAUUUUCAUGUCUUCUAAACCAAAAUUUGAUUUUACUCCUACUAGGAAGAGUCCUAGAUUUGUAGAAGACAGAAGUCCCAUUUUGCUAUCAAGACCAUCUUUUGAUUUAUGAUGUUUUACUCCUUCACCACCAGUUAAGAUCAAGAGUUUGAGUAAUGUUGAAAGUGAGCAUUUUUUGAUUCAGCAAAGUGAGUCAGUUAUGAAAAAAAAAAUGAUUUUUCUAAAAAAAAUUCUUCUGUGGGAAAACUCUAUAUUAAACAUGCAGAGUGAAAAUUUGAUAAAGAAGGAUGUUACAAAGAGGAGGGCGUUUAAGAGAAAAAAAGUGGUGUGUGAGCAAAAUUCAGAUUAAGAUUUUGAAGAUGAAAUUCCAUGCAAUAAGUUAAAAAAAAAAUAAAGAUUGGCAAAGAUGAAUCAUCUCAUGGAACAAGGUCAGUAUUGAAAGAAGCUACUGACAAGAAGCUGGUUAAAAAGUUGAUAAAAAAAAAAAUCUGAAAAAGUUGCAAAGUACGAGUUCAGAGACAUCAUAUUUACUGUUGAAGAGAUGAUAGAAUUCAAUUUGAAUGCUAUUCAUCAAGAUAGCUUUUAUCAAGAAAAUAUUGAGGGUGUAAAUGAUUCUGUGAUGAAUAAUGAUGCAUACACUGAAUUAAAAAUGAAAUUGAGAAGGUAUUUGUAUAUGUAUCUGGAAUUGAUGAAAUGAAUUUUUUUCACACAAUGGCUGUUACUGGAUGUGCAUGGAAUGACACGGUGUGAUUAUGUAUUACCUGCGGAAAAAGGCUAAAAAUAGCCUUAAAUAAUCUUUUACGUAUACAACUACGUGUGUGUUUUUCAUUGAGUGGGUACUAUUAAUUGAGAAACAGUGGAAGAAUGUGCACAGGAACUUGAAUUUUAUAUCUCCAGAUCACAAGAUUUGUCAAUACAUUAGAAGUUUUAAACUUCCAGCCAAUGUUCCUUGGUAUACUGUUGACAAUGUUAUUAUACCAGUCAAUGUUAGCCAAUCUUUUCAUUGGAUUCUAGUGGUUUUUUUCCAUUAGACAGAGAUGUUUAUUUGUGUAUACCAUACCAAGAAUGUUGUUGAUCAUGUACAAUCACUUGCUAUUAUGUUGCCUUUGUUUUUGGUUGCCAAUGCAUAUGUUGAUAAGUCUUUUUUCUGAA